GAAAUGCGAUAAGUAAUGUGAAUUGCAGAAUUCCGUGAAUCAUCGAAUCUUUGAACGCACAUUGCGCCCCUUGGUAUUCCAUGGGGCAUGCCUGUUCGAGCGUCAUUUGUACCCUCAAGCUCUGCUUGGUGUUGGGUGUUUGUCCCGUCUCCGCGCGUGGACUCGCCCCAAAGUGAUUGGCAGCCGGCGUACUGGUCCCGGAGCGCAGCACAUGUCGCGCAAACGAGUGCCUUGGUACGGCGGCGUCCAUAAGCCCCUCUCUCACGCUCUUGACCUCGGAUCAGGUAGGGAUACCCGCUGAACUUAAGC
Molecule: unclassified non-coding RNA, 309 nt
Filed under: plant metagenome
Description: partial contains 5.8S ribosomal RNA, internal transcribed spacer 2, and large subunit ribosomal RNA
Rfam family: 5.8S ribosomal RNA (bases 1-105)
Source: RNAcentral